This 497-nucleotide ribosomal RNA is filed under the name uncultured bacterium. RNAcentral's name for it is "partial 16S ribosomal RNA". It matches the Rfam family "Bacterial small subunit ribosomal RNA", at positions 28 to 507 of the family's 1533-position model. The record is from RNAcentral.
GAUGAACGCUGGCGGCGUGCCUAAUACAUGCAAGUCGAGCGAACAGAUGAGGAGCUUGCUCCUCUGACGUUAGCGGCGGACGGGUGAGUAACACGUGGAUAACCUACCUAUAAGACUGGGAUAACUUCGGGAAACCGGAGCUAAUACCGGAUAAUAUAUUGAAGCGCAUGGUUCAAUAGUGAAAGACGGUUUUGCUGUCACUUAUAGAUGGAUCCGCGCCGCAUUAGCUAGUUGGUAAGGUAACGGCUUACCAAGGCGACGAUGCGUAGCCGACCUGAGAGGGUGAUCGGCCACACUGGAACUGAGACACGGUCCAGACUCCUACGGGAGGCAGCAGUAGGGAAUCUUCCGCAAAGGGCGAAAGCCUGACGGAGCAACGCCGCGUGAGUGAUGAAGGUCUUCGGGUCGUAAAACUCUGUUAUUAGGGAAGAACAAAUGUGUAAGUAACUAUGCACGUCUUGACGGUACCUAAUCAGAAAGCCACGGCUAACUACGUG